CGUGUAGGCGGCUUGUUAAGUCGGGUGUGAAAGCCCUCAGCUCAACUGAGGAAGGGCGCCCGAAACUGGCGAGCUUGAGUGUCGGAGAGGAUGGCGGAAUACCCCAAGUAGAGGUGAAAUUCGUAGAUAUGGGGUGGAACACCGGUGGCGAAGGCGGCCAUCUGGACGACAACUGACGCUGAGACGCGAAAGCGUGGGUAGCAAACAG
RNAcentral lists this ribosomal RNA (208 nucleotides) under uncultured bacterium. RNAcentral describes it as "partial 16S ribosomal RNA". It matches the Rfam family "Bacterial small subunit ribosomal RNA", at positions 568 to 775 of the family's 1533-position model. The record is from RNAcentral.